AUUGUAUAAAUUACAUACGGGCAGAUCAUACAAAAAUGAUAACAAUGCAAUAAUUAACACGAACCCCCCAAAAAUGAAAAUGAUCUACAGUUGUGUUACCCUUAGCGGAUCAGUAUGGAAACAAUGCUGUGCAUUGAACAAACGUUUUACAUUCUGAGAUUGCAACGUUUACAGUUAAAAAGAAAAAUAUUUCCUCUUUUGAUUGACAUAAAAUAAUUCAAUAUCAGUGCAGAAACCGAUUAACUGACCGUUGUUUGCAUGUACGAGUAAAUGAGGCAUUAGCGAAUCAAAUUUACCAAUAACGGAUCACGUGACAUUCCGAUAUUGGGGGUUCUCUCAAGCGAGAUUUUAGCUGUCAAAACUGACAAUCAGUUUGUUUAUCUUUUCUGUUAAAUAUAUUUAGUCCCUCUUUUAUGCAUUUUAUAGGUGAUAUCAUGACAGGAUGCUUAUUCGGUGGUCUGUAUCACGUCAAGUCCGUAGAGAUCGCAUUUAUGUAUUUAAAGAUAUCCGAUUUGUUAAAUAAUUUCAACAAAAUUCCAGCUGAAAACACUCAGGUCCAGUUAAUUUUGAGAGCUUUUGGACUUUUUAUAACUGUAUAAAAUUUUCAAAAUGGAUAUGAAUAAUAACUGUGUAUGCAUCUGCUUGUAAAUCUGUGAACUGUUUAUGAAUAUGAUUUACUAAUUCUAUGCAUAGAAUAAACUCAUGCUGAUUGAGAUAAUUUAUUUUCAUUUAAAAAUAAUUUAACAAUGAUUGAGGAUAACAGAAUCAUAAAAUCACAGUAAAUCACAUUAUAAUCAAGAAUUAAAUCACAGACAUUUAAAAAGUAAAAUAUGAACAAAUAUAAUUUAUAUAAACACAUAACAAGUUGACUAGAAAUUCUGACCAGCUAGCCUGAGCUAGGUGUUGAUAUUAUGGUACUAACCUAUGCAAUGAUAUGAGGUAACAGGUUAAAAGCUGUUAGAAAUACAGUACAUAGUACUGUAUAAGGUAAACCUAUUUCUUAAACCUGAACAAAAUACACAGACAUCACGAAAACUGCAGUGAACAAGAUUGAUGGCAAAAGAUGCAACAAUUUGAAUCAAAAUUCAAGCUACUUUGAGUAUAAAACAUUGAACAACUAAACAAAACCAUAAUCCAUAUAAAACUUAUUACAAUCAAAAAUUGUAAUUUGGAGAUUCUUUGAUCAAUAACAUCAAGCAUUUCUAUUGCAGGUGAGAAAUAAUGAGCAACAAAUUAUCACUAGAUUUGUUGAAAACAAAACAAUGCCAAUUAAAUUCUAAAUACAUUCUAAAGACAUAUGAAUUAACUGAUUAGUUUAUAUAUCAGUUUUAGUCCAGCAUAUUUUCAUGGCAAUAACAAGUAUAUCAAUGUCAAUUAACAACUAUUUUCAUCACAUAACAUUUGGGCAUCUUUUUGAGUGUUUCUCUUAACAUUUGUAUAGUGUUCACUUCAUCUGCUGUAAGUACAUAUUUACAUGGAAUAACAACGCCACCACCACUCUCAGAUGGAGCAGGCCACGGUGGGAAACUGGGCGUCGGUUCACCAGUCAUGAUGGCACACACGUGUCCACCCGAAUCAAGUACAUUGUAAAAACAAAGAAUGCAUGGUACAUGGCCAAUUGGAAGGGCAGCUAUAUCUGACAACUUAAGCUGUCUUUUAUCAUCUGUUACCAUGUCAUGUAAAGUAAUAUCAGACUCAGAAAGUCCAGGAAUCCACACAAGGCAUGCAUCUUUAUCUUUGAUGUAAGUAUAUUCCCUAUCUACAACAAGCUUUGUCACAGGGUCAGUUAUUGGGGUUUUUAUCUUGUACAAAUGGUACCCCUUUAUCACCGAGUUCUCUAAUGUGAUAGAUGUGCAACAGCUUGCUGAAGACUGUGGUUCAUCAUGGGCUUCCUUGUCUGUGGAGAUAUCAUGGCCUCUUCCUCUUCUGGCUUUGAUGGCAGAUAUAUUAGGUGGCGGUGGUACCUGAAAGAAAAUCAUUUCAAUUAAAUACAGAAUUAGGAAAAACGAAGAAAAAAGUAGAAGACAGCUGGCUAGUCCACACAGCCACCUGAACUUUGAAGAUUUUACAAACCAUGAGCAAGUAACUUUGAGAUUUAUUUCAAAUAAUUUAUUUUAAGUGUACCCUGCUACAAUAUGAUAAUGUUAAUGUGAUGUUCUGUUCCAGAUUCAAAUGGUUACUUACUUCCACCAUCUCUUCUCAAUAAAUAAUGUUGUCAACUCUGCCCAAAUUCAAUCUUCAUUCAUCUGUAAAACACAAGUGAUAUUUUUAAAAACAAUCACAAACUGCAUGGUAUACACUUAUGGAAGUGGCAAUCCUCGAUACCAAUUAAAACACAGGCGUCUUUUAAAUUAAAGCUGAUAAAUAUCAUUUUUAUGAUAUUAAGUGUGUACAGUACUGUACAUCAUAUUUAUGUAUAAUAAAAAGUCAAAAAUUUGAAACUGAAUUAGAUAUGUGUGUUAUAAUUCAUAUUUUAAUCAUAAUUAAAGUUACAUAAGUAUCCAGCAAUGUUUGUUUUAUGUUUAAAAAAAUCGGCAAUGACAAACUGAAACAAAUUCACUAUGUUGAGAGAACCCCUCAGACUCACUGCAUGAACAAAAUGGCGGUCCGCUAUUGGUUAAUUACCCACACGUAAUUAUGACCGCCAAAUUCUAACAAUUCAUUGAUGAAAAAAAGAAUGUUAUGCAUUUUUAAGAGGUCAUAUACUGACCUUUCAUAAGAUGUAUAAAUUGUUCACUUACACAUUGUAGUUGGACGAAAAGUUCUCAGAAAGAGCACAUGUUGCAAUCAAAUUGAGGCCGGAACAACUGGGUCACGUAAACAGUUGCAUCGAACGUUCGUAUGAUACAGAUGAUUUUGAAGUUCGAUUUAACCAAUAUUUGUUGUGAUUUUCACAAUCACUUUAAAGUACAUAACUGCCAAUUUUCAGAAAAAAAUACAAUUAAAUAAACUUUAUAGCGUGUAUUCAACAAGAGAGUGAUCCGCUAUUGGUUAUGAUCCGCUAAGGGUAACUUGACUGUAUAUAAGCUAUGCUUUCGAUCAAAUUCUUUGUUUUUCAUUGAUGUAUAUAUGUUGUCUUGUAUUAUUUUCCUCAAUAAAUAUGUUUAAACUAACCCCCAAAAAACAAACAAAAAACAACAACAAAAAACAACAACCUUACCGAAGACCGAGUUGUUCAUGAGUUUGAAGAAGUUCUUCUCGAAAGCAGUCUUGGCUUGUUGUCGCAUUUUGGUGUUGAACUCAACGUAGGGUUUCAUGAAAGCCUCUUGUUGGAACUCUAAUACUUUAUGUAUUUUUUUCAAUUUUAGACCGAGUUGGAGAUACAGUUGCAGGUUGCGAUAGUGAAGUACAUAAUUCUGUUUGUUUUCUAAAGUGGUGCGGACUUGGAGAGAGCGGUGUUCUUGCAGUAGAAGAUGGUGUAGAUAGCUGACUGUAGCUGUGCUCGUUCUGAAGUUGUGAAGUGGUGAGAAGUCCUGUUGUAUGAUCUACAUUGCUUGUUGAAGAGGAGCUUUGGGUGUCGCUGCUUGGAGGUCGAAAGACAAUCAACGUCUGAGAGGGAAAUAUGUUGGUGCGCAAUUUAUACAACUUGUUUGAAUGUGGGCUUACAUCAACGACAGCAAGACUUUGCGAUCGACACUCUACUCUGUCAAAUGGAUAUUUAGCUGUGCUGUUUUUCAACAACUCUGCAUGAGCUACAAUAAGAGCUGGAUUGACUCUUACCUUCUUUGCUAUUCGCUUUUCGCUUGAUUUACAAUUUGCUGUGUGGGGGAAGUCACGUUCAAUGUCAAGUCGCUGCUCUCAGCGGAAGCCUUAUGAGAUCAUCCGGGGAUAUCGCCAUAUUGAAAACCCCCAAGAGGUUCGGUCCACGUCCAUGGUGCUCGGGAUGAGUCAUUGGAGGACGAAGAUCGGGUGUCCUUAUGCUGCCAUGAAAUGUCGUUUUUAUGAUGUCCAAUUAUGUUCAAAAAUAAACAACUUGGAGAAUGUG
This is a long non-coding RNA of Mya arenaria, 3985 nucleotides long. RefSeq lists it as uncharacterized. The record is from RefSeq and is a predicted model, not a curated record. The transcript is spliced from 6 exons. NCBI's taxonomy places the organism in Eukaryota, Metazoa, Mollusca, Bivalvia, Myida, Myidae.